Molecule: transfer RNA, 65 nt
Filed under: Petrolisthes haswelli
Lineage: Eukaryota; Metazoa; Arthropoda; Malacostraca; Decapoda; Porcellanidae
Description: tRNA-Asp
Source: RNAcentral
AAAAAAUUAGUUAAAUUUAUAACAUAAGCUUGUCAAGCUUAAAUUAUCUUCUUAGAUAUUUUUUA